This 435-nucleotide ribosomal RNA is filed under the name Actinobacillus equuli. RNAcentral's name for it is "bacterial SSU rRNA". It matches the Rfam family "Bacterial small subunit ribosomal RNA", at positions 62 to 486 of the family's 1533-position model. The record is from RNAcentral. Lineage: Bacteria; Pseudomonadati; Pseudomonadota; Gammaproteobacteria; Pasteurellales; Pasteurellaceae.
UCGAACGGUAGCACAAAGGAGCUUGCUCCUUGGGUGACGAGUGGCGGACGGGUGAGUAAUGCUUGGGAAUCUGGCUYAUGGAGGGGGAUAACUACGGGAAACUGUAGCUAAUACCGCGUAAUAUCUUCGGAUUAAAGUGUGGGACCGCAAGGCCACAUGCCAUGAGAUGAGCCCAAGUGGGAUUAGGUAGUUGGUGGGGUAAAGGCCUACCAAGCCGACGAUCUCUAGCUGGUCUGAGAGGAUGACCAGCCACACUGGAACUGAGACACGGUCCAGACUCCUACGGGAGGCAGCAGUGGGGAAUAUUGCACAAUGGGGGGAACCCUGAUGCAGCCAUGCCGCGUGAAUGAAGAAGGCCUUCGGGUUGUAAAGUUCUUUCGGUAGCGAGGAAGGUGGUUGUUUUAAUAGAACAAUCAAUUGACGUUAACUACAGAA